UGAAAGUUAUAUAGUAGGCUUUCAUCUUCAG
Molecule: non-coding RNA, 31 nt
Filed under: Rattus norvegicus (Norway rat)
Lineage: Eukaryota; Metazoa; Chordata; Mammalia; Rodentia; Muridae
Source: RNAcentral